Molecule: transfer RNA, 77 nt
Filed under: Thermoprotei archaeon
Lineage: Archaea; Thermoproteati; Thermoproteota; Thermoprotei
Also listed under: 1 other name
Description: tRNA-Arg
Rfam family: tRNA
About the family: Transfer RNA (tRNA) molecules are approximately 80 nucleotides in length.
Source: RNAcentral
GGCCCCGUGGCCUAGCCUGGAAGGGCGGCGGUCUCCGGAACCGCAGGUCCCGGGUUCAAAUCCCGGCGGGGCCGCCA